RNAcentral lists this long non-coding RNA (329 nucleotides) under Capsicum annuum. RNAcentral's name for it is "long non-coding RNA (CANN_LNC016439)". Lineage: Eukaryota; Viridiplantae; Streptophyta; Magnoliopsida; Solanales; Solanaceae. The record is from RNAcentral.
CGCUCCUGAGCCUCCCUGACACGCCUCAAUCGAUUUUUAGCCCAUUUCAUGCCCGGACCUCGGCAACACCCCCGAAAUUAUGGCCUAUAACACAUCGAUUUGGCUCGAAAAGGCCUUAUUUGUACCAUUUUGCCCGUUUGAAUACCCAAAUGGCCUCGCCCAACCAAACGGACCACACUAGGUUGCUCUCAGCCUCCUGGCACGUCUCGGUCGAUUUUUGGCCCAUUUCACGCUCGGACCCCAGGCACACCCUCGGAACCAUAGGCUAUAACACACCAAUUUGGCUCGAAAAUGCCCCGUUUACAUCGAUUCAUCUGUUUGACAACCCA